AUGAAGGUGCAAGUGUUUCUACCCGCUACCAUCAUCAUGUCCAUGUUAAUGAUGGUGCUAAUCAAAGUGCGACGUGACGAGGCCCAAGAAACAUUAAAACGGGCCACUUUCGUGGACAUUAAGGUGCGGGUGAGCGACGACGUGUUGCGGGAGUACGCGGGCGAAAAAGCUGAGCUCAAGCAAGACAUCGACACCGCAAAGGACCAAUAUAAAGAGACAGACAAAGACAUGAAGCCGAUCCAAGAAGCGGCCGACAAGGCCAGGCUUGAGGCUGAAAAAUGCGCAGAAGAACAGAAAUCUAUGAAAGAUGAACUGGACAAAUUGGAGACGGAACACACAAAUCUGAAAGCUGAAUUCGAUAAAGAAAAUGAGAGUUUCAAGGCCGAACUGGAAGCACUGAAGAAGCAACUACAAGAGAAGAGUCCAGUGUGUGCGUUUGUGAAGACGAAGUCAGAUGCAGGUAAGCUGUGUGGUGAAGAGGUGAAAGAGGUGAAAGAGGAAGAGCCCAAAAAAGAUGAGUCCAAACAAGAGGCCCCUGCAGAGUCGGCGGACGCAAAGGCAGCAGCGGCGUCCAAAUGAAUUCAAGCGAGACUUGAACAGAUGACAUAGAGGCGUCGCAGCGCCGUGAGAUAGUUCUGGAUUUUCUGCGUCCAAAGGAGGGUAAAUGUUGAACUGGGAUCGCUGUCGGACGGGUGGAAGAUUUGAAAAUAAAAGAAUUAUUCAAAACACAAAUAUUCGUCCUUGGUGGUUCAAGCAAAUCGUCACUUUUACAUUUUAUUUUAUUUUUUUAUUUACAAUUUGUUAAUAAAUCACACAAGGGUGAUUGGAGAGGCUUACACCCCCCCCCCGGUGUGUGUGUGUGUGUGUGUGUGUGUGUGUGUGUGUGUGUGUGUGUGUGUGUGUGUGUGUGACCUAUCCAGUGUGCACCCCUGUUCUUGCCCAAAGGCAGCUGGGGUUGGUCUGACCCCCACAACCUUGUUAUGGGGAAAUCUCCAGAAGACAGAUGAAUAUUAUAUGAUAGAUUUUGAAAAUUCCAAAGGCCCACAUCUCUUCUAAGACCGACAGUAAUGUUCUGUGACAGGUGAAUGCAGAGUUUGAGAUCCCGUUUCGCUUCAGUAUCCUGAAAAUCAGCUUUGACACGGGUGAAAUGAAGGCGGAAAAUGGACCAUUAUUAAUAAAAACCUUUCACUUUGAUCUGUUGACCUGUUUGGUCUCUCUCUUGAUGGCUGUUCAGUUAAAAAUCCUCUUUAUUCAUCCCCAUUUGGAAUUCCAUGCGGUUGUUCUCUGCCCUCCUGCCAUCUCUCUCUAUAACGCCAUCCAUCUGUUUGAGGUGAAGAUAGUCCCCUCAGGCUCACAAUCAGGCAAUCAGAGGACCAUUAUUCUGCCCCAGUAGGCUCACAAGGUCACCGGCACGCCAGGACAGGAUGCAGCAGCGGGGCCGAGUGGCGUCUGCAGCCAUGCACGGGGGUCACCCUUGAUUAAAGGCUUGAUCGGAGGCUUGCAUCAAGCUGCGUGAAAGAGGAAAGGACAUUUAGGUGCAAACUUCCUGUACGCGUUCUCUGUGGACAUCGUCCUUUCCUGGCGAUUCGCCGGACAUCACUUCACUGUGCUGCUGAAGGAAAACUUUGGACAGGGACGCAGCUAGUGAGUGACGAGGUGACCGGCAUCCGUUGGCGCUUGUCCUCCCUACAGGCCAGAACUGACCGUUAUUGGACUCUGCAUCUGUGGUCAUGGCGAGCAAGAGGGAGGGAGAGAAAGAGAGCAAUCAGAGGAGGAUGAACAUCACAUCUAUUGAUUAGGUUAAUGUGGAGAGGAAAGGCUGCAGGCCACAUCAGCUGAUCAAUAUGCCUCUAAUUACAUGGCUGUGUGUGUGUGUGUGUGUGUGUGUGUGUGUGUGUGUGUGUGUGUGUGUGUGUGUUACAGUGUAACCAGUAACCCCCCCCCCAAAAAAAACCUCCCAUGGAUGUAUAUAAAUGGCGUCCCAGAGUGGAAUUGCUCCCACAUUCGUACACUCGGAUGACAGCUGCCUAAUUUAAAGUUUAGUUGAUCUUUUACGUUUCGCGUUUUAAAGCCGCAGCGUAUCAGGAUUCACCUGGACGGGAUCUGCAGGUGUGUGUUGGUAAGUAUCGACAUAUUUGCCUCUAGUUGCAAGGGUGGUGUCAUUUCUAACACUCCUUUGUAGUCUAUUUACGAUUAAGCUCUAGGCUGAAGUCCAUCCCGGGACACUUUAUAUGCAAACCAGAUUCCAGAUUUACUGCUGCAUGCCUGCCACUCUUGAAUGAGUCGUUUCUCCAGUG
Molecule: long non-coding RNA, 2297 nt
Organism: Takifugu rubripes (torafugu)
Lineage: Eukaryota; Metazoa; Chordata; Actinopteri; Tetraodontiformes; Tetraodontidae
Source: Ensembl